CUGAAUUAUUAGCAACCCACCCCUUUAUAUGGUAAUUUCUCAAUUUCCAGACUUGCAUCACAAGAAGAAAAGAAGAAAAAAGAGAUGUAACUAUGGGAAAUACUGGAUAUGUUAAUUCACUUGACCUGUAGUAAUCACUUCAUUAUAUAUGUAUACCAAAACAUCUUGCAGUACAACUUAAACAUACAGAAUUUUUUAAAAGACUGCAUCUUCAUGCUUGCUUAAGGACAUAAAUUUUCAGGAAUGGCGGAGGCAGAAGAAACCAUGCAGUUUAAACCCGUGUUGUUCAAGGGUCAACUGUAAAGCAACUCCAAAAUCACAGCAACAUAACACAACUAAGGGUUUACACUACUUGAUGUACAGAGAUUGGUAAGAGCCUCUUUUCAUGGUAGUCAAUUCAAGACGUCAGGUGAUGGACGCUGUUUCAACAUGUGCUUCCAAG
This 442-nucleotide long non-coding RNA is filed under the name Homo sapiens (human). RNAcentral describes it as "non-protein coding lnc-SLITRK6-6:2". The record is from RNAcentral. Lineage: Eukaryota; Metazoa; Chordata; Mammalia; Primates; Hominidae.